RNAcentral lists this ribosomal RNA (804 nucleotides) under uncultured Bacteroidota bacterium. Its description in RNAcentral is "bacterial SSU rRNA". It matches the Rfam family "Bacterial small subunit ribosomal RNA", at positions 65 to 875 of the family's 1533-position model. The record is from RNAcentral. Lineage: Bacteria; Pseudomonadati; Bacteroidota.
AGGGGUAUAGUUCUUCGGAGCUAGAGACCGGCGCACGGGUGCGUAACGCGUAUGCAAUCUACCUUUUACAGAGGGAUAGCCCAGAGAAAUUUGGAUUAAUACCUCAUAGUAUGUGAGAAUCGCAUGGUUUUCACAUUAAAGUUCCAACGGUAAAAGAUGAGCAUGCGUCCCAUUAGCUAGAUGGUAAGGUAACGGCUUACCAUGGCGACGAUGGGUAGGGGUCCUGAGAGGGAGAUCCCCCACACUGGUACUGAGACACGGACCAGACUCCUACGGGAGGCAGCAGUGAGGAAUAUUGGACAAUGGGCGCAAGCCUGAUCCAGCCAUGCCGCGUGCAGGAUGACGGUCCUAUGGAUUGUAAACUGCUUUUGUACAGGAAGAAACACUCCCUCGUGAGGGAGCUUGACGGUACUGUAAGAAUAAGGAUCGGCUAACUCCGUGCCAGCAGCCGCGGUAAUACGGAGGAUCCAAGCGUUAUCCGGAAUCAUUGGGUUUAAAGGGUCCGUAGGCGGUUUAAUAAGUCAGUGGUGAAAGCCCAUCGCUCAACGGUGGAACGGCCAUUGAUACUGUUAAACUUGAAUUAUUAGGAAGUAACUAGAAUAUGUAGUGUAGCGGUGAAAUGCUUAGAGAUUACAUGGAAUACCAAUUGCGAAGGCAGGUUACUACUAAUGGAUUGACGCUGAUGGACGAAAGCGUGGGUAGCGAACAGGAUUAGAUACCCUGGUAGUCCACGCCGUAAACGAUGGAUACUAGCUGUUGGGCGCAAGUUCAGUGGCUAAGCGAAAGUGAUAAGUAUCCCACCUG